RNAcentral lists this ribosomal RNA (628 nucleotides) under uncultured archaeon. RNAcentral's name for it is "bacterial SSU rRNA". It matches the Rfam family "Archaeal small subunit ribosomal RNA", at positions 1 to 617 of the family's 1478-position model. The record is from RNAcentral.
UCCGGUUGAUCCUGCCAGAGGCCGCUGCUAUCCGGCUGGGACUAAGCCAUGCUAGUCUAGGGGCUUGUACCCCUUCGGGGGUGCAAGCACCGGCGGACGGCUCAGUAACACGUGGACAACCUGCCCUCGGGUGGGGGAUAACCCCGGGAAACUGGGGCUAAUCCCCCAUAGGUGAUGGGUGCUGGAAUGCCCCAUCUCCGAAAGCGCUCAGCGCCCGAGGAUGGGUCUGCGGCGGAUUAGGUAGUUGGUGGGGUAACGGCCCACCAAGCCUAAGAUCCGUACGGGCUGUGGGAGCAGGAGCCCGGAGAUGGACCCUGAGACAAGGGUCCAGGCCCUACGGGGCGCAGCAGGCGCGAAACCUCCGCAAUGCGGGAAACCGCGACGGGGUUAGCCGGAGUGCCCGUGCAUUGCACGGGCUGUCGGGGUGCCUAAACAGCACCCCAUAGCAAGGGCCGGGCAAGGCCGGUGGCAGCCGCCGCGGUAAGACCGGCGGCCCGAGUGGCGGCCACUCUUAUUGGGCCUAAAGCGUCCGUAGCCGGCCCAGUAAGUCCCCCGGGAAAUCUGGUCGCUUAACGAUCAGACUUCCGGGGGAUACUGCUGGGCUAGGGACCGGGAGAGGCCGAGGGUA